UCUAACUCCUUCAAUUUUGUUGGUGAUGAGGACUGGUGAGCCACUUCUAAAACCUUGAACUUUGAUAUUAUUGUUGUUGCUCUUCUUCUUCUAUUGCUGCUCAUAAUAUAUACCUGCAGUGGUACUACAAUCUUUAUGUGUAUGGUUUUGUAUUAUUGCUAUAUGAAUUACGUUUUUUGUCAUACUCUUCAUGUUUUCACUUUCCUUGCUUGAUAGAUGGGUUGUGUGGUGCUGUAUAGAUGCUUGAAUUACGUUUUGUAUUGUUGCAAUUUUCUUGCUUUUAACUCAGUCCUAUAUGCAAUCAAAGAUGCUAUCAAGCUUUUAAUACUACAUUACUCAUCUGGUAUUACUGCAUAUGCUUAUGCAGUUGAGGAUAUGUCAGAAGGAUCGGUUGUACAAGUAUACUUUAGGCCAAUGAAUUUGUAGGAAGUUGAUUAUCCACACUUCUGAUGAAUGGUGUUCUUUACAGGGAUGUGUCUCCUCUGAUGUUUUAAUGUUGAAUCAAAUAGGAUAUACACAGGCAAAGGAAGCUU
Long non-coding RNA from Juglans microcarpa x Juglans regia, 533 nucleotides. RefSeq lists it as uncharacterized. NCBI's taxonomy places the organism in Eukaryota, Viridiplantae, Streptophyta, Magnoliopsida, Fagales, Juglandaceae. The transcript is spliced from 3 exons. The record is from RefSeq and is a predicted model, not a curated record.